GACGAACGCUGGCGGCGUGCCUAACACAUGCAAGUCGAGCGACGCCCCUCCUUCGGGGAGCUGACGGGGCGGCCAACGGGCGAGUAACAGGGGGGCAACCCGCCCCCAACUCUUUGACAACACCGGAAAAACGGUGCUAAAACCUGAUACGACAUCGGACGGCAUCGCGCGAGGAGGAGAGUUUUUGAGGCUCGGGGUGGGCCGGCGGCCUAUCAGCUUGUGGGUGUGGGAGUGGCCCACCAAGGCGACGACGGGGAGCCGGACUGAGAGGGCGAGCGGCCACCCUGGGACUGAGACACGGCCCAGACUCCUACGGGAGGCAGCAGUGGGGUAUAUUGCGCAAUGGGCGAAAGCCUGACGCAGCGACGCCGCGUGAGGGAUGACGGCCUUCGGGUUGUAAACCUCUUUCAGCAGGGACGAAUUCAGACGGUACCUGCAGAAGAAGCACCGGCCAACUACGUG
RNAcentral lists this ribosomal RNA (462 nucleotides) under uncultured bacterium. RNAcentral describes it as "partial 16S ribosomal RNA". It matches the Rfam family "Bacterial small subunit ribosomal RNA", at positions 28 to 507 of the family's 1533-position model. The record is from RNAcentral.